This is a non-coding RNA of Leptonychotes weddellii (Weddell seal), 1010 nucleotides long. The record is from RefSeq and is a predicted model, not a curated record. NCBI's taxonomy places the organism in Eukaryota, Metazoa, Chordata, Mammalia, Carnivora, Phocidae.
CAAUUAAGAUGGGGUAGGCACACUGGUGGUUGUGGGCCCCAUCUCCGGUUCGACACAUCUGCAGGGUGACAUUAUUUGCCAGGGUCGUGAAGGCAUGUGAGUCUACGACUUCCCCACGUCCCAGCACACAUGACACUCUUAGGCAGCGCCAGAGCGACAUGCAGGGGGGUAACGAGAGCCUGAGGGACACCAACCUGGACCUCGUCGUCCUUGCGGAUGGGCACGGAGCGGACGCUGUACUUCUGUCGCAGCUCCUUGGAGAGUGGGGAAGACAUGAUCUUCCUGCGCACGUGCGAGGGCGCACUGAAGUGGCGUUUGCGGUUUUUGCCGCAGUCCGAGACUCUGAGCGCGCAAGGCCGGAAGUGAGGGCUUCCUGGCCCCGCCAGCGUACAAAGGAAGCGGAGCCCCAUUCCUGUCGGAGCGAGACUGCGUGGCGCCCCCUGCGACUUGGGGUGGGAUCGCAGUGCCUCUUUCCAAGGGGCCCAUUUCAGGGCUGGGCGGCUUUGGAGGUCCCGCCAGGACCCACAAAGAGUUGGCACCGCCGCGGAGAACGGGCAUACUUCUGUGGGGCCUGCAAUAGAGGCCUACUGGUGUUUUAAAAAUAGGCACACCAGAGUCUCUUUCUUAUCCCAAACUUUUUCUUUGCCUCUUGUUACCCUCUGCUGAGGUGAUUUAGAUGUUAAAUAUUAGUUGUUAGAUGCUUUGGGCAUUCAUGAUCCAAACGCAAUCCGCUGACUUGCUCCUUCGAAAUCCCUGAGAAGCUUGCUCAAAAGGCAAAUUUUUGUGAUCCAUCACAGGCCUACGAAACCAGGCAAUGGUAGGCCCAGGUUUUAAAGCAAGCACUCCCCUCCUCCCGCCCAACCAAAGAUUUUAAGGUGUAACGUUUGGAGAUCGUGAGAACCAACCACCUGGUCUUGCAAAACUUGCCCCCAGUUUUUUAGCCCUGCUGGGUGAUGUAGGAAAGACCUUAGGUUCCAAGCCGACGGCCAAUAAAGAAUUCUUGAGAUGUC